Macaca mulatta (Rhesus monkey) is the source of this 3753-nucleotide long non-coding RNA. The record is from Ensembl. Lineage: Eukaryota; Metazoa; Chordata; Mammalia; Primates; Cercopithecidae.
UGAAUCUGGGAUGAGAAACAAUAUUCUCUGAGCUAAAAGGUGUAAUUUCACCACCCGAUGCAGUUGUCAAUGUUUCAUCAAUUGAAAAUCAAUAAAUUUCAAUCAAUUCCUGGGAUCCUAUUACUUUAACCUUUGGAUGGCCAAAGAGCCCCCUCUGUUCCUGACAGCUGCAGGUCUAGUAUGGUUUUAGCUUUUUCAUAUAAUCAGCAAAGCUCGAACUGCUUCCUGAUUGAAGAAAAUUGCUCAGCAACCCCUGGCAAAUGAUUAGAAAGUGUUUUCUUGUUUCCAACAAUGACCACAGGAAGUGAAUGCAACUGGAGAAGGCCAGGUUCUCUGCAGGCCCUUGUUCAUUUCUUCUUUUUCCUGUUUUAUAUUUAUGUUUUAAUAUUUCCUGCAUUUACAGUGGUGACUUGAAGUUACCUGGGCCUCAAUCUCCUCCUCUGAGGAUCAGAGUGGCUUCCAAGGGAAGACUACUUCAGGGAACAUCCUGCUUUGCAGCCCCAAAUAUUACCUCCAGCCUUUCCCCCUGUUCUAGGAGAUCUCAAGAUUCUGCUAGACAUUCCUGCUUAAGUUCGGAUGUCAAGAGGAUGAAUCACGGAUGUCGGUGCAUUCCCCUCAGAGAUGUUACUCUGCUAGCGUGAGCUGUAGUGAACAAUGUCCACCAGAAGCUUGAGGCUUACUUAUUGUUGAGCCACAGUCUACCCAGUCUCAGCUAGCUGCUGGUGGCAAUAGGCAGGUUACCAGGAAGAAUAAUACACAAAUCUGCUCUUAUGACAAUGUCAUUGUUACACUUACUAUUUCACUUUCUCUUUUCUGGGCUGAGAGUACUUCACAAUAUACAAUCUCUAUUCUUGGUCUUCCUGUGAGAUAGGCAGUCAGAAGAAAAUGGGAAAUCUUAGCACAUCUGAACAAUAGUAAGUCUUUCUUCACAGUGUUGUCUGAAGAGUGUUGCUUGAUGACAUCAGCAGCCAGAUCUGUGUCUUCCCCCACACAAUGAGGCUGAGUUUCUGUGCAUGGGUGAGAAAGCAUCUUAUGAGCUGAAUGAUAAUUAGGAAAACCAUUGAGAAAAUGGGAGUGACAUCCUGCAAAUUAAAGGCAGUCGUAAUGUAAAAGGAAAUUAAAUCUUCCGUUUUUAAGAAAGAGAUGCAAUCUUGCUCACAAUAUUUUGACCCUUUUCCUUUAUUUCUUCCCAAUCCGUACUUCUCCUUUAUCUUUUCUUGGGCCCAUGUUCAUUUUCUCACUGAGUUGAUACUGCUUCAAACAGUUUUGUGGUUUCUGUAGGUGUGUCAUUAAAACAAGGACAUGGCUUCUAGGCAUCUGUGAUGACUCAGCGAGUCCAAACUCUAUCUGGUGUGUUAGUGCAAUGGAUCAGCCUCCUCUUGCUGAACAGAAUCUGCCAGAUGUCCAUGGUGCAUGGCAGGGCUCUGGAUGGGCAUUCAUUGUUUUAUUUAAUCAGUUAUGCCAAGGAUGGUCAGUUGAGUGGCAUGGGGCAUCAUAUUACUUGUCUGAGGCUCCUAAUGAGAGAAGUUUGCCUUGAGAGGCCCUUUUCUCUUUGCCCUGUGGAACACUAGUGGCAGAGUGUUUGGUACUUUUCUUAGUUUGGCACCAACUCCUGUAACCAUGGGUUGCUCCUUUGGAGCUGUGGUUAGACUCACCUAAGUGGCUUAGCUUGGUGCUUCCUAAACAUUAACAUUCAUAUACAUCACCCUAGAUCUUAUUAAAAUGUAGAUUUGGAUUCAGUGGGUUUGGGAUAGGGCUGCCUAUUCUGCACUUCCAACAGACGCCGCUGUUUCAUGGACCACACCUUGAAUAGCAAGAGCCUUGCUGAUCCCAGCUGAGCACAUCGUUUUACGACAACCUGCCACCAUUAGCAGACAGGAGAACAGAAGUGCAUGUGCCACUGGAUUUUUUCAACGUUUGACCUCCAUAAUAGGGAAGGGAAAAGGAACUACCACUGAUAGAGCCUUUAUUACACCCCAGGCGCAACGCCUAGCUGUCAGCAUUUAAUUCUAUUAUCCCAUUGAUGAGAAUCUGAGCAACUUGAAUAAGAAAGUGAUUACUUAAAACUUGGUUUGUGAGUCCCUCCCCUUUCUGACAUCAUGAGUAACUAGUGUUGCUAAAGCAACUCAACAGGCCCAAGAUGCCAAAUCUGAGAGGAGGGGAUGUCAAGAGAGACUUGAGAGCUCACGGCACACUACAGGAAACCCCAACUCCAAGAAAGACCUACCCAAAAUAGAGGUGUGCUGAUGCAAAUCAGUGAUCACUGCUGUUCUCAGGUUAUAAGAAUAGUUGGAAACCUCUCUGGUGACUCAUCAGCCUUCACAGUUGCCAGGAGUUAUCUCUAGCUCUAGUCAGGCAGCCAGUCACUCCCUGGCAGAGGGAAAGCCUUUUCUCAAGAACAUUCUGAUCUGAGGAAGGAGCUGGCUUGAGCUCGUUAUUCAGGGUCAGGUGGCACAAUGAACUAUGCUGCACCACCUAGGAUGGCCUUUUCUGCGGGGGUCAAGAGCUAGAUCAGGUUGUCACAGGUCCCUACCCCUUCUGGCCCAAGCCCCAUGCAUGGAAAAGUGGUGGCUGGUGGGUGGGAGUCGGGGGCAGGAUCGAUGAGUCUCUGAAGCCAGGUAAAGACCCAUUUCACUGGGAUACUUCGCUGUUUGGCUAAGUGGAUGAGGGCCUACAGUGUCAAGAUUUGCACACUCUAGGUAUCACAGGGCUGGACCAUGCAUCAGAAUCCCAGAUUGGGUUCUCUGUUGGAAGCAGAUGCCUUAAAAGGUUUCUUGGCUGAAAAUGCAUCCCCCAGACCACACAUUUUUGUUCUCCUCUGACCGUUCCAAUUCAGAGCUACCUCUUCCAAGGUAGGGCUCCUCCUGACUGAAGACACUAAGAGUAGGUGAUUAGAGAUGGCUUUUAAUGAUGUCAGGUCUUCUGAAAUGUUUACUUCUCUGAAAAGUAUUCUCAAACACCAAGCUCCUGGCCUAGAACUGUUAACAGAGCAGAAUGUUUCUUUGGAGUGUUGAAAAGAAUAGCAUAUGAGAGGGUUAUCAGUAUUAGCUGGUAACAUAUUCUGAGGAUCCACUAGGGUUAUGACAUUGUGUUAGAAGCUGUGAGCAAUAACGAAAAUGACACCUCAAACCUUUAUUAUCGGAUGUGGAAUAGGAGUUAUAUAUUCUGGCUUAUUAAAUAAUAGAUUUUUUUCAUAAUAAGAACCGCAGAGGAGAAAAGACUUUCCCUUUACCCUCUGAGAAUUUGAUAACUGAGUCUAUAAAACACACUGACAGCAAUCAUAUUAACAGGAGAAUAGGCAGACAAAUAUGUUAUGUACAUGGCUGCAUCCCAAAAGAGAAAAGGGAAUAUUGCAAAACCCAAUGAGAUCUAGAAGUCUGCAUGGCCUCGUUGUAGAGGAGGGAGAAUGUAGGUAACUUAGGGAAGAGUAAGUGAUUUGAGGGAAAGAUGAAUGGGUGGUAGAUGAGAUUCGAGGGCAGUAGUGGGCAGGCUAAGUGGGAGUUGUGGGGGAUUCAUGACGAUUGAGUUAUUUCAAAGGAUUUGUCUUCAGGCAGAUAAGGGAAGUUUAGAGAAAGCCCCUUCUUGCAUUAGCUGUUCCCCGAAUGCCCUCAAUUUGAAGUCAUCAGCACACCAAAGCAGCAUAUUUGGGGUGGUAUAUUCUAAACUCCUUCAGAACAAACAUGUAUGGCAUGUUAGAGUUUACAGAGCACAUUCGUAUAAAUUAUGCAAUUUGGUUACUCACUACUAACCUGC